UUCCGGUUGAUCCUGCCGGACCUGACUGCUAUCGGAUUGAUACUAAGCCAUGCGAGUCAUUGUAGUAAUACGAGGCAGACGGCUCAGUAACGCGUAGUCAACCUACCCUAAGGAUGGGGAUAACCUCGGGAAACUGAGAAUAAUACCCGAUAGAACAUGGCUCCUGGAAUGGUUCAUGUUUCAAAUAAUUUAUUGCCUUAGGAUGGGACUGCGGCCUAUCAGUUUGUUGGUGAGGUAAUGGCCCACCAAGACUAUUACAGGUACGGGCUCUGAGAGGAGUGGCCCGGAGAUGGGUACUGAGACACGGACCCAGGCCCUAUGGGGCGCAGCAGGCGAGAAAACUUUGCAAUGUGCGAAAGCACGACAAGGUUAAUCCGAGUGGUUUCUGCUAAAGGAACCUUUUGUCAGUCCUAGAAACACUGAUGAAUAAGGGGUGGGCAAGUUCUGGUGUCAGCCGCCGCGGUAAAACCAGCACCUCAAGUGGUCAGGAUGAUUAUUGGGCCUAAAGCAUCCGUAGCCGGCUUUGUAAGUUUUCGGUUAAAUCCAUGCGCUUAACGUAUGGGCUGCCGGGAAUACUGCAAAGCUAGGGAGUGGGAGAGGUAGACGGUACUCGGUAGGAAGGGGUAAAAUCCUUUGAUCUAUUGAUGACCACCUGUGGCGAAGGCGGUCUACCAGAACACGUCCGACGGUGAGGGAUGAAAGCUGGGGGAGCAAACCGGAUUAGAUACCCGGGUAGUCCCAGCUGUAAACUAUGCAAACUCAGUGAUGCAUUGGCUUGAUGCCAAUGCAGUGCUGCAGGGAAGCCGUUAAGUUUGCCGCCUGGGAAGUACGUACGCAAGUAUGAAACUUAAAGGAAUUGGCGGGGGAGCACCACAAGGGGUGAAGCCUGCGGUUCAAUUGGAUUCAACGCCGGG
Molecule: ribosomal RNA, 914 nt
Filed under: uncultured archaeon
Lineage: Archaea
Description: bacterial SSU rRNA
Rfam family: Archaeal small subunit ribosomal RNA
Source: RNAcentral